GCCACGUUUUCCAACCAUAUCUCAGAGAGUGUUGUCUUUGGCCUCGGCAAGUUCUACGGUACCAGCCUCCCUCGCUGUCGGAUCUACAUCGACGUCAAGUGCAACGACCGCCUUGUUGACCCACAAUUUGCUUCUCCCUCUACCCUUCCGCACAUCGUCCAUGAAGACACCGCGGAUCUAAACGUCGGUGGCGUGAGUAACAGAUCUGGGCGCCGUCAGCAUGCACGACAAAUUUGGACCCUGACGAUGUGAGUGGCGGAUCUGUAACCCAACAGCGUACAGAACGGAUCUGUAUGUCAUCGAGUUUCCUCGACCCCUAAACGCCACCGUCUCGAUUUUUGAGUUCGGCUUCCUUGUAACAGUGUUGUUCACAGUUGAAAUUGAGGGAGGGAGAAAAAAAAAAUUUAGUGCAGCAGGUCCACCAUAUACUGUAUACUGAGGUGAAUCUAACGGUGUUAAAAAAUUUGUCCACGGUAAAUCAUUUGAAACACUUGACCACACGGUAGAAGCCGUCUUUGUUUCAAUCAAUUCUACCGUUAAGGGCAAGUGGCGGGAUUGCCAGCUGGGCAAUAUGUAACAGAAAGAAAAAAGUUACACAGUUUACCUGGUAAGUUGUAGUCCCUACUACAGUUACAUUUUGAUUUUGAUUGUUAAAUUAAACGAGAGAAUUUUGAUAACAGUGUAAACCCGCCACAAAAACAUUGACAGACGUCAACCACCAUAAUUAAAACUUAUAAUUUCUCAUAUAAAUACUAAAAACUUUUAAAAAAGUGAAGAAAAAAAAUACUAGGAACUAAAUGAAUAGUUUAAUCAGAGAAAAAAUAAUGUGUGAUCGUCUUGUGAUUCAUUUGCACCAGACUAAGCAACAAUAAAACCACCACCAUUCUAAUUGGAACAAAAUCGGGUAUUUACAAAGAGAGUGCUUUUGUUAGUGGCAUUUGUGUUUCAAAACACAAGGGCCGACACAUUGGUCAAGGUGAAAUUAAUUUGGAACUCGCAUGGGCAAAAAUUCAAUGAGGCUAAAUAUAUUUACAUCAAUGAAUGAAAUAUCAUUCUGGCCAGUGCCUAGUUACAAUUGCAUACCUACAUAAAAUACAACAUGAAAAUCAAUAAUAAAUAUACCUAACUGUCUGACCGGCAAAAUAAUAGAGGCAAUGUAUCAAGCUUACAAUGUCAACUCUAUAUACUAUGGGUAAUUACAAAAGGUUCGUUGAACUAUGUAGUAAUUUAGUUGGAAAUUACCAAUCAACCAAGAGAAUCACUCUCCUAUCUUUGAUAUCAUGAUCAGCAAGUGCACCAUGUAACUACAAAUCGGAUGACAAUCAAGAUUGCUGCUGUCCACGUAAAGAGAAACUCGUGUUUCCAAUGUGGAUAAUGUUGCGGCGUUGUCAUCUAAAUCCGGAGAUGAAAUAUUGAAGCAAACUGUCAAACUAAAGUAAUAAUCAUGAAAUUGUGGACUUCUGAUGUGAACUAAGAAACUGAGCGCAAGAAUAUUCGGACAUGAAUUCUGGAAGAUCAAUUUCAUCAACGUCUAUGGCAGGAAUUGCCAUAUCUAUGUCUUCGGCAGAGAAAGGAAUGCUGCAGCAAAAAAUUAAGGUUAAGACAAAGGAAUCUCAAAUGGCAGCUGUUUGACUCUCGAGGUGCAAAUACAGUUUGGUGCAAUUUUAAAUUUAAUUUCCAAAUAUGUGUUAAUAGCAGAAAGCCACGAAUCUCAUCUAUAAAUAUGCAUGACUUAUAUUCAGGUUUACAUUUUAAUGAUUUUAAGGGUUAACGAGACAUAUUUCGAGCAAAUUUAUUCAUUUUUAUUUUAUUUGUGAAGUUGUAGAUGUGGGCAAUGACUACCUACCCCUCUCUACUUCUUAUUCUAACUAAAUUGAGUGAAUUCCUUCUUUCUCUCUCUCUCUCUCUCUCUCUCACUUCCCACAUAAGCAUUUUGUUAUACUCGCAUUCCAUUUGACUUUUCCUCAUCAGCAUCAUUAUUCCUCACGUUGUCAAGCAUAGGAAAUGUCUAAUAACAGCUAGUAAUUCUCAUAAGCAAUAGAUUGAGUCACAAUAGAAAAUUCUGUCUCCAAGACGAUUUCUUUGAUUAUUCAUCAUGAAACAGAAACGCAACAAACUGAACUAGAAAGUAUACCAGUUAAUAUGGACAUGCUGCUUGACAUAUUGAUUUAGCUUCGUCUCACAAUAAAAUAACAGGUCAAAAAAUAAGUAAAACUUUUUUUUUGAAAAAAAAAUAAAAAUAAAAAUGUCAUUGCUUUGUGGUACGAUAAUUUCAAUUUCAAUAACUAGAAACAGAACAGAAAUCCAAUUCAAGUAAAAACUGGCCAGAAAUAUCCAGAAGCAAGGGAAACCAUUCAUUUUGAUUCAUCCAGCAAUCACAGGAUAAAACUGCAAGUAAAUGAAAAGAACUUCAAUGGGAGAAGGUGGUGUACCUCAGAUCAUCAUCUAAUAAGAAAGAAUUUGAGGUCAAAUUCUGAUUGUCCUUGCUGACAAUUUCUCUCAUUUCACUAACUACCUGUUUACCAUAUACUGUUAAGAACUCUGAAGAAACUACCAUCAUAGUUGUAUUUUGAAACAAGUUAAAGAACACAACUUGCCUCAUUGGACACACUCUGGGUUCCAUACUUGUCAUCCCAGUACAUUGUGCUGAUUCGAUAGAUUUGCCUCACAGUCAAUACCUGUUGAUGAAAUGUAUUUAGCUUUCUUUUCAAUUUUAUAUGUUUAGAUGAACUGUAUAUCAAGAAUAUUAUAUUCAUUACACAUGCGAGACAUCAGACAUAUGCUAACAAAUGAGAUGAAAGGAAUAUCUUUGUAGUGAAUGAGACCAAACAUGCUCCCUUAACAGGGAAGGAAAGUCAUUAACUGUUUGUUUCAUAUUCUUAGAACAUUUAGACAUGAGAGGCACUGUUAAUGAAGAUACCAGCAUAAUUGUCUUACUUAAAAAGAAAAUUUUCAACAAAUAAAUGUAUUACUAUUAACGAUCAAAUAAAUUUUUAGUCAAUCACUCUACUAAUAUGUUAAGAACAGGAGGGAGAGCAGGGGACCAGGACUCAGGAGUUCAUAUAGGCAGCAGGGGUGCUGUGAACACUGGGGAUCAGGGAUAUAACAGCCUGCAUAUGGGGGAGAAGGCAAU
RNAcentral lists this long non-coding RNA (3133 nucleotides) under Glycine max (soybean). RNAcentral's name for it is "long non-coding RNA (GMAX_LNC003159)". The record is from RNAcentral. Lineage: Eukaryota; Viridiplantae; Streptophyta; Magnoliopsida; Fabales; Fabaceae.